AAUGCCCCAUGGUGAUGUCCUCAGGCAUCUGAGGUCAUCUAAAGAUCCGUCGGAUGGGGAUAGGCUCGCGUGACAUUAGCUAGACGGCGGGGUAACGGCCCACCGUGGCGACGAUGUCUAGGGGUUCUGGGAGGAAGGUCCCCCACACUGGAACUGAGACACGGUCCAGACUCCUACGGGAGGCAGCAGUGAGGAAUAUUGGUCAAUGGCCGGAAGGCUGAACCAGCCAUGCCGCGUGAAGGUCAGUGCCCUAUGGGCGUUAAACUUCUUUUGUGCGGGAGCAAUAAUGGUCACGUGUGGCCAGACGAGAGUACCGUACGAAUAAGCAUCGGCUAACUCCGUGCCAGCAGCCGCGGUAAUACGGGGGAUGCAAGCGUUAUCCGGAUUUAUUGGGUUUAAAGGGUGCGUAGGCUGUGAGGUAAGUCAGCGGUGAAAUGCCCCCGCUCAACGGGGUGAAGUGCCAUUGAUACUGCCUUGCUGGAACGCGGAUGCCGUGGGAGGAAUGUGUGGUGUAGCGGUGAAAUGCAUAGAUAUCACACAGAACACCGAUUGCGAAGGCAUCUCACGAAUCCGCGAUUGACGCUGAUGCACGAAAGCGUGGGUAUCAAACAGGAUUAGAUACCCUGGUAGUCCACGCUGUAAACGAUGAUGACUAACCGUCGGCGAUACACAGUCGGUGGCCAAGC
RNAcentral lists this ribosomal RNA (686 nucleotides) under uncultured bacterium. Its description in RNAcentral is "bacterial SSU rRNA". It matches the Rfam family "Bacterial small subunit ribosomal RNA", at positions 165 to 852 of the family's 1533-position model. The record is from RNAcentral.